ACGGGAGGCAGCAGUGAGGAAUAUUGGUCAAUGGACGAGAGUCUGAACCAGCCAAGUAGCGUGAAGGAUGAAGGUCUACGGAUUGUAAACUUCUUUUAUAAGGGAAUAUGUACCUUAUGAAUAAGCAUCGGCUAACUCCGUGCCAGCAGCCGCGGUAAUACGGAGGACGCGAGCGCUAUCCGGAUUUAUUGGGUUUAAAGGGAGCGCAGACGGGUCGUUAAGUCAGCUGUGAAAGUUUGGGGCUCAACCUUAAAAUUGCAGUUGAUACUGGCGUCCUUGAGUGCGGUUGAGGUGUGCGGAAUUCGUGGUGUAGCGGUGAAAUGCUUAGAUAUCACGAAGAACUCCGAUUGCGAAGGCAGCACACUAAUCCGUAACUGACGUUCAUGCUCGAAAGUGUGGGUAUCAAACAGGAUUAGAUACCCUGGUAGUCCACACGGUAAACGAUGGAUACUCGCUGUUGGCCAGCGGCUUAGCGAAAGCGUUAAGUAUCCCACCUGGGGAGUACGCCGGCAACGGUGAAACUCAAAGGAAUUGACGG
RNAcentral lists this ribosomal RNA (538 nucleotides) under uncultured bacterium. Its description in RNAcentral is "bacterial SSU rRNA". It matches the Rfam family "Bacterial small subunit ribosomal RNA", at positions 341 to 916 of the family's 1533-position model. The record is from RNAcentral.